AAUCAACGCUGGCGGCGUGCCUAACACAUGCAAGUCGAACGCGAAAGGGGAGCAAUCCCUGAGUAGAGUGGCAAACGGGUGAGUAACACGUGGGUGACCUGCCUUCGAGUGGGGGAUAACGUCCCGAAAGGGACGCUAAUACCGCAUGACAUCCUGCUUUUGGAAAAGCGGAGAUCAAAGCUGGGGAUCGCAAGACCUGGCGCUUGAAGAGGGGCCCGCGCCUGAUUAGCUAGUUGGUGAGGUAAUGGCUCACCAAGGCUACGAUCAGUAUCCGGCCUGAGAGGGCGGACGGACACACUGGGACUGAGACACGGCCCAGACUCCUACGGGAGGCAGCAGUGGGGAAUUGUUCGCAAUGGGCGCAAGCCUGACGACGCAACGCCGCGUGGAGGACGAAGAUCUUCGGGUCGUAAACUCCUGUCGAGUGGGAAGAACACCUUCUGGAUGAAUAAUCCGGGAGGCUGACGGUACCACUAAAGGAAGCCCCGGCUAACUCCGUG
RNAcentral lists this ribosomal RNA (500 nucleotides) under uncultured bacterium. RNAcentral's name for it is "bacterial SSU rRNA". It matches the Rfam family "Bacterial small subunit ribosomal RNA", at positions 32 to 507 of the family's 1533-position model. The record is from RNAcentral.